Phoenix dactylifera (date palm) is the source of this 1755-nucleotide non-coding RNA. NCBI's taxonomy places the organism in Eukaryota, Viridiplantae, Streptophyta, Magnoliopsida, Arecales, Arecaceae. The record is from RefSeq and is a predicted model, not a curated record.
CUUGUUUCACAGGUACAGGGGAAACGAACGGGACCACCUCAGUCAGCGACAGUCCCGCAAAAGUCCCGCCUGAGUCUCGCAUGAGAGGCGGCGUCAAUCGGAUAACGGAAUCUCCCAUGGCUUCGGUGGCGCCGCCGGAACCCUUGUUGAAGGUAGCCGAUCUCCCCGGACGCGGCCGGGCACUCGUCGCCACCCGCCCCAUUAAACCCGGCGAGGUCCUCCUCUCCGACUCCCCCCUCCUUCUCUACCCUGCUACCCUCCCCUCCGCCGCCGUCUUCCCCUUUUGCUCCCGCUGCUUCCGUUCCUUCCGCUCCGUCGCGACCUCCUCCUCCGUCUCCACCGGAGGAGGCCCCCUACCGUGCCCCUCCUGUGCCUCCCUCUCUCUCUUCUGCUCCCGCCGCUGUCUCUCCCUCGCCGUGACCUCUUCCCAUUCCUCCUGGCUCUGCCGCGCCCUCCUCCACCUUCCCUCCCUCCCCGUCGACCUCCACGCCCCCGCCCUCUUCCUCCUUGCCGCCUACAACCUCGCCGCCUCCUCCCCGUCCGACUUUCUCCGCCUCCUCUCUCUGGAGGGCGCCCUCCCAGACGCCCCCGAGGCCGCCGCCCUCCACCCCUUCGUCGCCUCCCUCCUUCCCCGGCCCCUCCCCUCCGGCUUCUCGCCGGAGCUCACCGCCGCGCUCCUCGCCAAGGAUAAAAGUAACGCCUUUGGCCUGAUGGAGCCGUUCCGGGAGGAGGACGCCGGGGAGAGGAGGGUGAGGGCUUAUGGGAUCUACCCUAAUGCCUCCUUCUUCAACCAUGACUGCCUUCCGAAUGCUUGCAGGUUCGAUUAUGUCGAUGGUGAUGGGGAUCGGAACACUGACAUUGUGGUGAGAGCUAUCCAUGACAUCCCAGAGGGGAGGGAGGUGUGCUUGAGUUAUUUCCCUGUUAAUUGGAGCUACGCUGAGAGGCAGAGGAGGCUGACAGAGGACUAUGGGUUCCAGUGCGAGUGUGAUAGGUGUCAGGUGGAGAAGAAUUGGAAGGAUGAUGAGGAAGUGGAGAGCAUGGAAGAGGAGGAGGAGGAGGGAGGUGAAGGGAUGGAGACUUUGGAGGAAGAGAAUAAUGAAGGAGGAGAUGGGGAUGGGGAUUUUCCUCAUGCCUAUUUCUUUGUAAGGUAUCUGUGUGAUAGGGAGAACUGUGGAGGAACAUUGGCCCCUCAGCCACCAUCGCCUCAUGGUACACUGUCGAAUGUAAUGGAGUGCAAUGUCUGUGGCCAGUUGAGGAUGGAAGAUAACAUCAAUGAAGAUGUUGCUGAAGAUGGUGAUGGUAGUAUGAUCGAUGAAUGAACUUGAUUGCCAGUUUUUGCAGGUACGCAACUUCUCUCUUUCCUUCUGUAUGGCAAGCUCAUAAAUGCUGCAGGAGGUAGAAUAGCUGAUCUUUUAGAUCUUCCAUUUGAGAUUCGAGUAGCAGCACUGUUAGUAGGGUUUGGAGGGACCCAGGGCAGAGUUACAAAUUCCAGUCCUGUGACAGCAAGCAUUUGGGAUUCUGGAAGACUGAGAUGCAAAGCUUCUUCAGGUUUGCAAAUAUUGUUGUAUUGAAGGCUUGGGAUGAGGUCGCCAUGGCACCUCGUUUGGAAGUUUCUCACAACGUUUUGGGUUCUCUUGAGUGCAUCAUCAAAAGUAUGAGCAUUGUGUUUUGAUGUACUGGCUCUAGAUCCGACAUCAUAGUUAUACUGCAGUCAUAUAAUACAGAGUCAAAAACCACUACAGCUGUUUUACCUCA